Oncorhynchus gorbuscha (pink salmon) is the source of this 1010-nucleotide long non-coding RNA. RefSeq lists it as uncharacterized. The record is from RefSeq and is a predicted model, not a curated record. NCBI's taxonomy places the organism in Eukaryota, Metazoa, Chordata, Actinopteri, Salmoniformes, Salmonidae. The transcript has 4 exons.
AGAUAGGGCUGUUCCGAUUUUCACGUUUCUUGUUUUGUAGUUGUGUUCAUGUUUGAGUUUUCUUAUUAAAUAACCAUGAACUAUAACCACGCCGCGUUUUGGUCCACCUCUCCUUCCCAGGAUGAAAGCCGUGACACCUGUCCUUGAAACAGGCCUUGUGUGCUGCACCAGUCCAGGUUCUGACGAUGGCACGCUGGUUUGGCAGAAUGCAAGCUCAGUGUCCUGGCCCAGCCUGGUCUCCAGCAGCUGCAGGCCUUGCUGGUAUCCCAUCGGGAGAUUGAGAUCAUCAGGCAAAGAUAAAUCUUCAACCGACCCAUUGGCCAUUGACUAACAAGAAUAAUCGGCCAUUAAGAGAGACAGAGGGAAUGGUCCAUCCGACGAUGCUGCGACUGGUCUGUCCGACGCAGCUGCAACCUUGGCAGCUGCAACAGGUCCGUCCGACGUCACUUCAGCAGCCACAACUGGCCCGUCCGAAGCCGCCACAGUCGGUCUGUCAGACACCACUGCUACUGGUCCGUCCGUCCGUCGCCGAUGCAACUUUGGCAGUGGCAACUGACCCUCUGAUGAUGACACAACUUCGGCAGCUGCACCGGGUCCUGAAAGACCCGCAUAACGAUCCUGGGAUCGUCCUCGAGGCCUGUGUCAUUGAGCUGCUAGUGCACUGCGUCGGGGUACUAUCAUGGAUCCCUCUGGAACUUUCAUUACGCACACCUGUCCCCUGUUCCCACUGAUUAAUACUUCCAUUGGGCUGUCGAUUACUGUUACAAUGUCCAUUGGUGCAUGUGUUGUGUGUUUUGGACUUUCAUGCCCUUGUGGAUUGCGCAGAUGAUUACGAGUCUCGUCCCGUGUGUUAAUCAUCGUACACGUGUGUAUUUAUUCAAGGUACUCCUCGCUGUUUUGUUUGGGUUUCAACCCUGUUUUGUUUAGUGUUUAUUUGGUCUUCUUCCCUGUGCCUUUACACGGCACGCUGUCAUUUGGGGUAUAAUUAAAAACCCUAUUAUGCAUUCCUG